Molecule: ribosomal RNA, 328 nt
Filed under: uncultured eukaryote
Lineage: Eukaryota
Description: partial 18S ribosomal RNA
Rfam family: Eukaryotic small subunit ribosomal RNA
Source: RNAcentral
CCCUUAGAUGUCCGGGGCUGCUCGCGCGCUACACUGAAGGAAUCAGCGUGCUAAAACCAUUGUCGAAAGGCAUUGGUAAACCCAUUAAAAUCCUACGUGAUUGGGAUCGGGAAUUGCAAUUAUUUCCCUUGAACGAGGAAUUCCCAGUAAGUGUGGGUCAUAAGCUCGCGUUGAUUACGUCCCUGCCCUUUGUACACACCGCCCGUCGCUGCCCGGGACUGAGCCGUUUCGAGAAAAGCGGGGACUGCUGCUGUCGGGGCUUUCGGGCCUUGGCUUCGGUGGAAACCGCUUUAAUCGCAGUGGCUUGAACCGGGCAAAAGUCGUAACA